AGUGAACGCUGGCGGUAGGCCUAACACAUGCAAGUCGAACGGCAGCACAGUAAGAGCUUGCUCUUACGGGUGGCGAGUGGCGGACGGGUGAGGAAUACAUCGGAAUCUACUUUUUCGUGGGGGAUAACGUAGGGAAACUUACGCUAAUACCGCAUACGACCUACGGGUGAAAGCAGGGGAUCUUCGGACCUUGCGCGAUUGAAUGAGCCGAUGUCGGAUUAGCUAGUUGGCGGGGUAAAGGCCCACCAAGGCGACGAUCCGUAGCUGGUCUGAGAGGAUGAUCAGCCACACUGGAACUGAGACACGGUCCAGACUCCAACGGGAGGCAGAAGUGGGGAAUAUUGGACAAUGGGCGCAAGCCUGAUCCAGCCAUACCGCGUGGGUGAAGAAGGCCUUCGGGUUGUAAAGCCCUUUUGUUGGGAAAGAAAAGCAGCAGGUUAAUACCCCGCUGUUCGGACGGUACCCAAAGAAUAAGCACCGGCGAACUGCGG
This 491-nucleotide ribosomal RNA is filed under the name uncultured bacterium. RNAcentral's name for it is "partial 16S ribosomal RNA". It matches the Rfam family "Bacterial small subunit ribosomal RNA", at positions 29 to 506 of the family's 1533-position model. The record is from RNAcentral.